CCUACGGGAGGCAGCAGUGAGGAAUAUUGGACAAUGGGCGCAAGCCUGAUCCAGCCAUGCCGCGUGCAGGAUGACGGUCCUAUGGAUUGUAAACUGCUUUUGCACAGGAAGAAACAACGCUACGUGUAGCGUCUUGACGGUACUGUGAGAAUAAGGAUCGGCUAACUCCGUGCCAGCAGCCGCGGUAAUACGGAGGAUCCAAGCGUUAUCCGGAAUCAUUGGGUUUAAAGGGUCCGUAGGCGGUUUAGUAAGUCAGUGGUGAAAGCCCAUCGCUCAACGGUGGAACGGCCAUUGAUACUGCUAGACUUGAAUUAUUAGGAAGUAACUAGAAUAUGUAGUGUAGCGGUGAAAUGCUUAGAGAUUACAUGGAAUACCAAUUGCGAAGGCAGGUUACUACUAAUGGAUUGACGCUGAUGGACGAAAGCGUGGGUAGCGAACAGGAUUAGAUACCCUGGUAGUCCACGCCGUAAACGAUGGAUACUAGCUGUUGGGAGNGAUCUCNGUGNGUAGAGAAAGUAGAGUAAGUAGUAACCUACCGUCGGGGUUAGGUUACGUUCGUUCGAAGGAAGUUAGAACGUUACAAUUAGUUAAGUUAGUUACGGCGUUGGAGACGUUGCCGACGGACGACGACGAGGGAGGUAGG
Molecule: ribosomal RNA, 643 nt
Filed under: uncultured bacterium
Lineage: Bacteria
Description: bacterial SSU rRNA
Rfam family: Bacterial small subunit ribosomal RNA (bases 1-537)
Source: RNAcentral